This 68-nucleotide transfer RNA is filed under the name Antigona lamellaris. Its description in RNAcentral is "tRNA-Met". Lineage: Eukaryota; Metazoa; Mollusca; Bivalvia; Venerida; Veneridae. The record is from RNAcentral.
UUGAGAGUAAGCUAAUAAUAAGCUGUCUGAUUCAUGCUCAGAAGAUAGAAUUGAGUUUCUCUCUCGAA